GCGGGGGUUGCCUAGCCUGGCAAGGCGUUGGCUUGCUAAGCCAAUGUCCGCAAGGACACGUGGGUUCAAAUCCCACUCCCCGCGCCA
Molecule: transfer RNA, 87 nt
Filed under: Nitrososphaerota archaeon
Lineage: Archaea; Thermoproteati; Nitrososphaerota
Description: Thaumarchaeota archaeon tRNA-Ser
Rfam family: tRNA
About the family: Transfer RNA (tRNA) molecules are approximately 80 nucleotides in length. Their secondary structure includes four short double-helical elements and three loops (D, anti-codon, and T loops).
Source: RNAcentral